This 253-nucleotide ribosomal RNA is filed under the name uncultured bacterium. RNAcentral describes it as "partial 16S ribosomal RNA". It matches the Rfam family "Bacterial small subunit ribosomal RNA", at positions 524 to 776 of the family's 1533-position model. The record is from RNAcentral.
UACGGAGGGGGCGAGCGUUGUCCGGAUUUAUUGGGCGUAAAGAGCGUGUAGGCGGCCAGGUAGGUCUGCUGUGAAAACUCGAGGCUCAACCUCGAGACGUCGGCGGAAACCAUCUGGCUAGAGUCCGGAAGAGGAGAGUGGAAUUCCUGGUGUAGCGGUGAAAUGCGCAGAUAUCAGGAAGAACACCCGUGGCGAAGGCGGCUCUCUGGGACGGUACUGACGCUGAGACGCGAAAGCGUGGGGAGCGAACAGG